Molecule: unclassified non-coding RNA, 1451 nt
Filed under: uncultured fungus
Lineage: Eukaryota; Fungi
Description: sequence contains 18S rRNA gene, ITS1, 5.8S rRNA gene, ITS2, 28S rRNA gene
Rfam family: Eukaryotic large subunit ribosomal RNA (bases 516-1451)
Source: RNAcentral
GGAGGGAUCAUUAACGAGUCUUCAAAAGCUCCAACCCAUGUGAUAUCUACCUUCAGUCGUUGCUUCGGCAGGCUCUGGAGCGUUCGAGCCCGGGCCCGCCGGAGGUAUCCCAAACUUCAGUUAUAGCGUAUCUCUGAGACAAAAAAAAACAAUCAAAACUUUCAACAACGGAUCUCUUGGCUCUGGCAUCGAUGAAGAACGCAGCGAAAUGCGAUAAAUAAUGUGAAUUGCAGAAUUCAGUGAAUCAUCGAGUUUUUGAACGCACAUUGCGCCUGCCGGCCAUUCCGGCAGGCAUGCCUGUUCGAGCGUCAUUACCAACCUCGGGGCCCCCUAUCUUUCGAGUUUUGGGGCCUUCGGUAUUGGAGCACCCGGGGCUUUUCGAGCCCUGGGGCCCCCAAGAUCAUCGGCGGGCUCGCCCAAGCUCUGAGCGCAGUAACUCGCGGCGAAAGUCGUGCCUCGCUCGGCGAAGCUUUUAGGGCUAGCCUCUGCCGUCAAAAAAACCCCCUUCUAAUAGUUGACCUCGGAUCAGGUAGGAGUACCCGCUGAACUUAAGCAUAUCAAUAAGCGGAGGAAAAGAAACCAACAGGGAUUGCCCCAGUAACGGAGAGUGAAGCGGCAACAGCUCAAAUUUGAAAUCUGGCUCCUUAUGGGGUCCGAGUUGUAAUUUGCAGAGGAUGCUUUUGGCGAGGUCCUUGCCGAGUCCCCUGGAAUGGGGCGCCAAAGAGGGUGAGAGCCCCGCAUGGCCUAGGUACCGAGCCUCUGUAAAGCUCCUUCGACGAGUCGAGUAGUUUGGGAAUGCUGCUCUAAACGGGAGGUAAAUUUCUUCUAAAGCUAAAUAUCGGCCAGAGACCGAUAGCGCACAAGUAGAGUGAUCGAAAGAUGAAAAGCACUUUGAAAAGAGGGUUAAACAGCACGUGAAAUUGUUGAAAGGGAAGCGCUUGUGACCAGACUCGAUCCGGGCGGAUCAUCCAGUGUUCUCGCUGGUGCACUCCGCCCGGCCCGGGCCAGCAUCGGUUCUCGCCGGGGGAUAAAGGCGCCGGGAACGUAGCUCAUCUCGGUGAGCGUUAUAGCCCGGUGUGUAAUAUCCCGGCGGGGACCGAGGACCGCGCUUCGGCAAGGAUGCUGGCGUAAUGGUUAUCAGCGACCCGUCUUGAAACACGGACCGAGGAGUCAAGCAUUGGUGCGAGUGUUUGGGUGCAAAACCCGCACGCGUAAUGAAAGUGAACGUAGGUGAGAGCUUCGGCGCAUCAUCGACCGAUCCUGAAGUAUUCGGAUGGAUUUGAGUAGGAGCAUCAACGCUUGGACCCGAAAGAUGGUGAACUAUGCCUGAAUAGGGUGAAGCCAGAGGAAACUCUGGUGGAGGCUCGCAGCGGUUCUGACGUGCAAAUCGAUCGUCAAAUUUGGGCAUAGGGGCGAAAGACUAAUCGAACCAUCUAGUAGCUGGUUACCGC